GGUUGCGAUCAUACCAGCACUAAUGCACCGGAUCCCAUCAGAACUCCGCAGUUAAGCGUGCUUGGGCGAGUGUAGUACUAGGAUGGGUGACCCCCUGGGAAGUCCUCGUGUUGCAACCC
Molecule: ribosomal RNA, 119 nt
Filed under: Helianthus annuus (common sunflower)
Lineage: Eukaryota; Viridiplantae; Streptophyta; Magnoliopsida; Asterales; Asteraceae
Source: RNAcentral